This 496-nucleotide ribosomal RNA is filed under the name uncultured Bacteroidota bacterium. RNAcentral describes it as "bacterial SSU rRNA". It matches the Rfam family "Bacterial small subunit ribosomal RNA", at positions 355 to 851 of the family's 1533-position model. The record is from RNAcentral. Lineage: Bacteria; Pseudomonadati; Bacteroidota.
UGGGGAAUAUUGGUCAAUGGACGCAAGUCUGAACCAGCCAUGCCGCGUGCAGGAUGACGGCCCUACGGGUUGUAAACUGCUUUUCUAUGGGAAUAAACCCCUUUACGUGUAAAGGGCUGAAGGUACCAUAGGAAUAAGGAUCGGCUAACUCCGUGCCAGCAGCCGCGGUAAUACGGAGGAUCCAAGCGUUAUCCGGAUUCAUUGGGUUUAAAGGGUCCGUAGGCGGGUCUUUAAGUCAGUGGUGAAAGCCUGCAGCUUAACUGUAGAAUUGCCAUUGAUACUGGAGACCUUGAGUAUAGUUGAGGUGGGCGGAAUACGUCAUGUAGCGGUGAAAUGCAUAGAUAUGACGUAGAACACCGAUUGCGAAGGCAGCUCACUAAGCUAUAACUGACGCUGAGGGACGAAAGCGUGGGGAGCAAACAGGAUUAGAUACCCUGGUAGUCCACGCUGUAAACGAUGAUUACUCGCUGUUGGCGAUAUAAUGUCAGCGGCUAAC